AUGAGUGCCUUCGGGGAACUCUGAGACAGGUGCUGCAUGGCUGUCGUCAGCUCGUGUCGUGAGAUGUUGGGUUAAGUCCCGCAACGAGCGCAACCCUUAUCUUCAGUUGCCAGCAUUUCGGAUGGGGACUCUGGAGAGACUGCCCCGGUAAACGGGGAGGAAGGUGGGGAUGACGUCAAGUCCUCAUGGCCCUUAUGCCCAGGGCUACACACGUGCUACAAUGGCAGGUACAGAGGGCAGCGAGGCAGCGAUGCCGAGCGAAUCCCUAAAGCCUGUCCCAGUCCGGAUUGGAGUCUGCAACUCGACUCCAUGAAGUUGGAAUCGCUAGUAAUCGCGGAUCAGCAUGCCGCGGUGAAUAAGUUCCCGGGCCUUGUACACACCGCCCGUCACACCAUGAGAGUUGA
RNAcentral lists this ribosomal RNA (404 nucleotides) under uncultured delta proteobacterium. RNAcentral's name for it is "bacterial SSU rRNA". It matches the Rfam family "Bacterial small subunit ribosomal RNA", at positions 1010 to 1414 of the family's 1533-position model. The record is from RNAcentral. Lineage: Bacteria; Deltaproteobacteria.